UGCGACAUUCAAUAGUUGAGACUUGGGGACCAUCCUACUUAACUUUUUCUAUAGCAGAGGCAGCAUGGAACAAAUGUUGGGUUUAGCUCACUUGCUGUUCCUUCAACCAAUCAACCACCACAUGCUACAAGAUUGCAUAUCAGCUCAUGAAUCAUCAAAAUGUGGAGGAGUGAAGAAACAUAUAUGGCGAAUCCGCUGACGUGCUGAACAGAGGUCAAAACCGUUUUGGGAGGAACAACUAUCAGGAUUUCCAUGGAGCAGUUGCUGCACAAAGGGCUGGUUGCCACCACGAUAUGCCACUCCCGGCUCGGCCUGGGAUGACGCCGUCAUGGAGGAUCACAAGGUGGCCACGACACUCUCAGCCUCUCCGGGCUGCUGCCGGACCACAGCUACUACGCUCAUCUGAUCUUCGAGUUCGAGGCCGUGCAGCUUUGACCUUGGAGCCUGACGACCUGUACCGAAACAAGCUGACGCGAUCGUGAGGACGCCUGACUACGCCGCCAUGUUGGCCGAAGGCAAGAGGCUCGGGGACAAGGUGGAGCAGAAGAAGCAGAUGGAUGAUGAAUCGGUACCAGCGGAGAGGCCCUUGAGAUUGCAGUUGCAGGGGACGCUCUGCUUCUUCCUAAGAGCUUGGUGCACUUCCACGGUGCAAAGACCGUUGCAUUUGAUUGUUGGAGGGUCUUGUCUGGUCUUUUUCAUGUGCGUUGCUAGUUGUGAUUUGUUGUACAAUCAU
Molecule: long non-coding RNA, 733 nt
Organism: Panicum hallii
Lineage: Eukaryota; Viridiplantae; Streptophyta; Magnoliopsida; Poales; Poaceae
Exons: 4
Source: RefSeq, a predicted model, not a curated record